This 83-nucleotide transfer RNA is filed under the name Deltaproteobacteria bacterium. Its description in RNAcentral is "tRNA-Leu". It matches the Rfam family "tRNA". From Rfam's summary of the family: Transfer RNA (tRNA) molecules are approximately 80 nucleotides in length. Their secondary structure includes four short double-helical elements and three loops (D, anti-codon, and T loops). RNAcentral also lists the same sequence under 1 other name. Lineage: Bacteria; Pseudomonadati; Myxococcota; Myxococcia. The record is from RNAcentral.
GCCGGGAUGGCGAAACGGCAGACGCAGGCGACUUAAAAUCGCUCGAUGGUGACAUCUUGCGGGUUCGAGUCCCGCUCCCGGCA